This 460-nucleotide ribosomal RNA is filed under the name uncultured bacterium. RNAcentral describes it as "partial 16S ribosomal RNA". It matches the Rfam family "Bacterial small subunit ribosomal RNA", at positions 338 to 795 of the family's 1533-position model. The record is from RNAcentral.
CCUACGGGUGGCAGCAGUGAGGAAUAUUGGUCAAUGGACGAGAGUCUGAACCAGCAAAGUAGCGUGAAGGAUGACUGCCCUAUGGGUUGUAAACUUCUUUUAUAUGGGAAUAAAAUGUUCCACGUGUGGGAUUUUGUAUGUACCAUAUGAAUAAGGAUCGGCUAACUCCGUGCCAGCAGCCGCGGUAAUACGGAGGAUCCGAGCGUUAUCCGGAUUUAUUGGGUUUAAAGGGAGCGUAGGUGGAUUGUUAAGUCAGUUGUGAAAGUUUGCGGCUCAACCGUAAAAUUGCAGUUGAAACUGGCAGUCUUGAGUACAGUAGAGGUGGGCGGAAGUCGUGGUGUAGCGGUGAAAUGCGUAGAUAUCACGAAGAACUCCGAUUGCGAAGGCAGUUCACUGGACUGCAACUGACACUGAGGCUCGAAAGUGUGGGUAUCAAACAGGAUUAGAUACCCUUGUAGUC